GGCUCCGUAGCUUAGAGGAAAAAAGCGCCCGUCUAGUAAAUUGGGAAUUGUGGGUUCGAUUCCCAUCAGAGCAA
Aedes albopictus (Asian tiger mosquito) is the source of this 74-nucleotide non-coding RNA. Lineage: Eukaryota; Metazoa; Arthropoda; Insecta; Diptera; Culicidae. The record is from Rfam.